Long non-coding RNA from Daphnia magna, 495 nucleotides. RefSeq lists it as uncharacterized. The record is from RefSeq and is a predicted model, not a curated record. The transcript has 2 exons. Lineage: Eukaryota; Metazoa; Arthropoda; Branchiopoda; Diplostraca; Daphniidae.
UGUUCAAAACCGAAAAAUAACAUAUAUCUUAAAUCUUACCACUAACGGUGGUAGCAUACUUCCCUGACAGCUUACUGUAUGAAUCAAAGUUAACCUAAUUUUUGAGAAACCACAAUUAGAUUUAUUACAUUGAAUGACGUCUGUAGCAAUGAUGAUAGGUGUUCUAACCAACGAUGUUCAUCGCCUACAGCCGACGCUCUACUACAAAGACACCAAUCAUUUGAAAUUGAUAAACUGACGAGUAUUAUAAUUUUGUCCAAAUUAUUGGUACCUUUAACAGAAUGGUAGCUCUGUGGUCCAAGAAUAUACAACCCCAAGAAAUAUAUGUGACACUGAGACACAUGAAUUCAGAUACGUGGAAUGGUGAAAAGACAAAACUUAUUUCACCAAAUUGUAAUUAGAAGGUUUAAGGAAAGAUAAUCUAGCUAUUCAUAUUUCAUAUGCAUGAAGUAUAAAUACCUAAAUAAUGGCAUUCUGGAAUGGGGAAGAACUAUA